AAACUUCGCAAUGCGCGAAAGCGUGACGAGGCUAGUCCGAGUGCUUCCCGCUGAGGGGGGCUUUUCUCGGCUGUAAAUAGGCCGGGGAAUAAGGGGAGGGCAAGUCUGGUGUCAGCCGCCGCGGUAAUACCAGCUCCUCGAGUGGUCGGGACGAUUAUUGGGCCUAAAGCACCCGUAGCCGGUUCAGUGAGUCCUCUGUCAAAUCCAACCGCUCAACGGUUGGGCCGCAGGGGAUACUGCUGGACUAGGAGGCGGGAGAGGCGGACGGUAUUCCGCGUGUAGGGGUAAAAUCCUUUGAUCCGCGGAGGACCACCAGUGGCGAAGGCGGUCUGCCAGAACGCGCUCGACGGUGAGGGGUGAAAGCUGGGGGAGCGAACCGG
Molecule: ribosomal RNA, 380 nt
Filed under: uncultured archaeon
Lineage: Archaea
Description: bacterial SSU rRNA
Rfam family: Archaeal small subunit ribosomal RNA
Source: RNAcentral